UCUAGAAUCUCUCUAAUUAAAGACAUUCACCUUAAAUAGAAGUGUAUUUAUAACAAAUUGAAAGAUUUCUAAAUAUAAAAAAAGUAAUUCUUUUGCGUGUUACAUAAGAUGAAAAGGAGGAAUAUUCGGAUUAGUAUUUAUAUGCAUUCUCACCUAACAAUCUACAUAGACAAUUAAAUUGCUAGAAAUCUGGACAUGAAAAAUCCAGUCAAUAAACAUUCCGGAAUACGUUAUAGUCUUCCCUCAAUUUCAUCUUACAAAUAAAAAGGUAAAAAAAGCGAAAAAAUGAAUUGUAUAUCAACCUCCUGAAUUUACAGCAGAGUACAUGACCAUGAUCAUAACUAGACAAGAAUAACGAAUUUUUAUCUUAGAAUUUUAGUUUUUUUUAAAAUCAAUAGGGAAUGAUAGUCUCGAAACAGUGGACACCAUCCAAUUCCAGUGCAAACCUCUGCCUCUUCUGCUUCUGUUGGCACGAAGAUGACGGCAGCGGCGAUGCCUCUCCGGCCUUCUUGAGACCACCGGUUGAGGAAGUAGACGGCGGAGAAACACCACCAGUCUUGUGAUCUGAUACAAGAGGCACGAAGAUGACGGCGGCGAUGCCUCUCCGUCCUUCUUGAGACCACCGGUUGAGGAAGUAGACGGCGGAGAAACACCACCAGUCUUAUGAUCUGAUACAAGAGGUCCACCCCCUUCUUGUUGUUGUUUUGUCUCAGUACUGGGUGCCCAAAAAGAUGUCACCUUUUGCCCAAAAACUUCAGCAGAGAGAGCAUCAAAGGAACUGAAUAUAGACAUCAUCAUCGUUGUUAUUUUAUUGCUUCUAACUUGGAAAACAAAUAGAAUUAACAAAACAAGAAACUGAAAGUAUUGCUUUGUUGGUUUCUUUUACGAAAGAAUUGUUGUGAACUUGGCUACGAAGAAAAGAAGCUGCAGAAGUAGGAGUAUAUAUAGUGGGGUGGAUUAAAGAAAAGGAAAUUCUUUCCUUAGUAAAAUUGGAAAGAUCUGGGAAUGGACAUAGGGAAAGAAAGUUUCCACUAUUCACCAAUUCGUUGAAUUGGUACGCAUUUUUGGACUUAGAUGGCUGGCGGGUAGGCCAAGGAACUUCGAAAACUAACACUCCUCUAUUAACGCGUUGAUAUUUUGGGUCUAUUAUUAUUUUUAUACGACAUAACAUGAUGUAUAUCUUCUGGAUUUAACUGGAAGUUGUUUAAUUCUAUUAUCUUUUAAUGGGUAUAAAAGGAAAUAUACAUAGAAACGUGUCGUGUUUUUUCUGGUUUAAGGAUGAAUGCGUGUCCUUUUACCCUUUUUUGGAGCAUGUUUUUUUUUUUGUUGAGCGGAUGCAUAUUAUAACUAAAACAAACUACCCAUUAGGGUGUACAAAAAGAGUGUUAAUCGAUGGGUAAAUGAUACCCCCUCUAACAUACUAUUGUUAGGACUUUUACAGUCCAUUGUUUUCCUUUCAAAUACAGUUCUUACGAUGUCUUGUCCAAAAAAUAUGAUUGACAAACACCGGAGGAAUUGUUGUUACAAAAACAUCUUACAUUUUUUUUCCUUGCCCCUUCCUUCGCCAGCAUGUCAGCAUGGUUUCCUUGUGUUUCACCACCACGACGUCUAGUCUUUGGACGAUUGAUCUGCAUUCAUGAAUAAGUGAGUCAAAAUAGAGGUUUUCAUUAAUUAGCAUUCUAAUUACCUUUGUUGAAUCGGUGUUUAUUUCCAAAGGUGUGAAUUGUGUUUUUUCUGCAACACGCAGUCCUUUUAGGAGAGCCAUUAGUUCUUGAGUGUUAGUGGUUUAUUGAAUUGAGCCCAUGUAGCCCAGUAUCUAGUUUUCACUUGCAUUUCUGAAGACUCCCCCCAGUCCUCCCUUUCCAGGAUUCCCUGUUGUAGUUCCAUCGAUUAUAAGCUUGUUGGAGUUGUUGUUUGAUGACUCCCAUUUUAUCCAGAUAUUUUUUAUGUUUUGGGGUUCUUUAUCCAGCAUUAUUGUAACAUAUUUAGUGGCUUUAGUAAUUGUACAAUUUGAGUCUGACCUUUUCUGUUAUUGAAGAGGUUGUUAUUCCGUGUUAGUCAUAUUUGUCAAAAAUAGAGAGUGAGGAGCUCUUCCCAAGUAAUAAUGUUGUUAUAAGCUUUUUUCUUUAAAGAUGCCCAAGUGGUUGGCCAAUAUGUGGAAGUGAAAGUAGGAAUAUGAGUAUUGGUUUUCCUAUUGCUUAGGGAGAUGAUGUCUUGCCAGAAGGUGUGAGAAAUGGUACAUUUAAAGAAUCGGUGAUGAUGUUUCAUUGGUCUGGCUGCAUUAAAUGGGGUUUGAUUGUACCCAACAUAAUGGAGAUAGGCUCCAGUGGGGGUCCUUUCAUGGAAAAGUAACCAAAAGAAGGAUAGAAUUUUUUUGGGUACUUUUAAUUUCCAGAUCCAUGCAAAAUUAUGGAUCAUGGUUUCCUGCCCUUGGUCCAAUAUCUAAUAGGCAUAUUUUGUGGAGUAGAGACUAUUUGGUGUGGCUCCCCAUAUCAUUCCAUCAUCUUUAACUGGUUUGGAUGGAAUGAAAGUGUUGUGGAUGGAAUUUUGGAUAUUUUUAGGGGAUGGUGAGAGAAAGAGUAGAGAGAUCCUAAACUCCAUUUUGGCGAGCAUUUGCAACUGUUUUGGACAUGUCUUCUCUUGUCAGAGGACCAUGAAUUAGAGACCUUAUAGCAGGGAGGUUGUUUAUCCAAUGGUCAUUAAAAAAGCUAACUCUGUUUCCUGAAUAAAUUACCUAUCUUUUUGCUUGUAUGCAUGUUUCCCGUCCUUUUAGGAUGCAUUGCAAGAUGUAAGACUUUACUUUUUUGGAAGGUUUCCUUUAAUUGCAGUGUUUUGCAAUAAGAGUUUUUGUCUAUGGAUUAAGCUUAUAUUUGUCUAUCCAUUAUUUAUUUCGUGUGGAUAGGUCUGGAACAACUCCAUAUUGGUGGUGGGACUUUCUUUCAUGACGAAAUCAAAGGAUUGCUGACCUGGUCAAUGAGUUGAAUAGUUGACUAUUAUUCAAAUGGUAUAUGUGGUCUCGUAGUCAACCAAACUUCAAAGGUCAAACAGCAAUUAAUAUUGACUUUAGCAUAGGAGGUUAGAAUUGGAUACUUCGGCUUGGCCUGUUUGUUAGCAAAUACACGUAAUGCUGCAAAUAAGGAGCUUUCCUCAACUCUGAGAAUUGAAAUAUCUAGUAAAUAUCCAGCAUUUUAACAAAGAAGUUAGAAAUUAACCCAAAGUAUAUGUUUGGUAAAAACCUGAAACUACAAGCUGCAGUGCUUUAAAUUAAGGACCAGAAAUUUUCCUCUAAGUUAAUUUUUAUUCAGCAUUCUGGAUUAAAGAUGAAGUAGAUUGUUGACAAAAAAUUAAAGGUUUUCCUAGUAAGAAGUUACUUUUCCUGAUUCUCUUGUUUGAAUCCAUCUCGGUUCUCUAAUUUUGUAAGGUAAUUGACCACAAGGUCCUAUGUGUAUAUUUUUAAUGGUAAAAGUUAUUCUCACUUGAUGUUUAUACCAUACUCCCUUCUAUCCAAAAUAAGUAAUUUUUUGAAUGUUUUCAUACAGAUCAAGAAAUUUAUCUUUUAGCAUUAAUUAGCAAUAGAAUUGACCAUAUUAACCUUUAUUAUCUCACAUAAACACUCCUAACACAUAUUCCAACAUUAUUUACUCCAAAGACAAUGUAGGAAAAGAAUAAUUAAUGUACUCUUGAAAUCUGAAAAAAUCACUUAUUUUAGACCACAAAAAAAGACCAAAAAAUCACUUAUUUUGAACUAGAGGGAGUACCAAAUAAAUACAAAUAUAUGUUAUUCAUAUAAACAAAUGUCUUUCGUAUACAAAUUAAUAAUUAAGUGAUAUCGUUGUCACUUUAAUUCUUAAUUGCUUACGUUAAAUUCCUUAAUUUAGUUUAAACACCAAAAAGUAUUUAGCAUUUUCAAUUACAUCACAUUAUUUGAUUUAUUUGCAUAAACUCUAAUUUAGUAGCUUGCCAAAAGUUCCAAUCAUGUAGCUUCAACGAGGUUUUAUUUGAGAUAUUGUUUUAAAGGUUUCUUUUUAUUUAGCUCAUUUAGGUGAAUCCGGGACUCUCUCUUGUCAUGAUUUAAUUGGAUUACGUUACUAAUCGCUCAUUAUUUUCUCCUUCAAUUCACUCGUUAUUCCUGCUUAUCAAGUUUUUGAAAUUUAUGAUCUAAAUAUUUAUGUAAUUAUAUAUAAAUUUUCCCGUUAAUAAUUAAAAGAAUUAAAAUUAAAUUAUUUUUAAAUAUAAAAUGAUAAUUCUUUUGGAGUGUUGCACAAAGUGAAGAGAAGGGAUCGGAGUAGAAUUUAUAUGCAUUCUCACCUAACAAUCUACAUAGACAAUUAAGUUGAAAGAAAUCUGGCACAUGAAAAAACCAGUAAUAAUAAACUUUCCGGAAUACAAUGUAAUCUUCCCUCAAAUUUCAUCGUACAAAUAAGAAGGAAAAAAGAAGUGGAAAAAUGAAUUGUAUAUCAACCUCCUGAAUUUACAGCAGGGUACGUGACCAUGAUCAUGACUAGACAAGAAUAAUGAAUUACUUUGAAUUUUAGCUUUUUUAAAAAUCAAUAGGGAAUGAUAGUCUCGAAACAGUGGACACCAUCCAAUUCCAGUGCAAACCUCUGCCUCUUCUGCUUCUGUUGGCACGAAGAUGACGGCAGCGGCGAUGCCUCUCCGGCCUUCUUGAGACCACCGGUUGAGGAAGUAGACGGCGGAGAAACACCACCAGUCUUGUGAUCUGAUACAAGAGAUCCAACCCCUUUUUGUUGUUGUUUUGUCUCAGUACUGGGUGCCCAAAAAGAGUUCACUUUUUGUCCAAAAACUUCAGCAGAGAGAGCAUCAAAGGAACUGAAUAUAGACAUCAUCAUCUUUGGUGUUUUUAUUGCUUCUAACUUGGGAAACAAAUGGAGUUAACAAAGACAAGAAUAGGAAAUCCUUUACUAAAUAAAAUAGAAAGAUCUGGAAGUGGACAUACGGAAAGGAAAUUUCGGCUAUUCUCCAAUACGUUGAAUUGGUUCGCAAGUUUGGAACUAACACUCCCCUGUUAACGCGUUGAUAUUAUUAUAUGAUGUAAAUCUUCUGGAUUUAACUGGAAAUUGCCUAAUUCCAGUUAUUCACAUAAUUUAAUGGGUAUCAAAAAAAAUACACAUAGAAACGUGUCAUGUUUUUUCUGGUUUAAGGAUGAAUACGUGUUCUUUUACCCCUUUUUUGGAGCGCGCUAUAUUGUCAACAGAGAAAGAGUUGCGGAUAACAUCGGACCAAAACUAUAUUGGUGGGGCUUUUUUU
This 5268-nucleotide long non-coding RNA is filed under the name Nicotiana benthamiana. Its description in RNAcentral is "long non-coding RNA (NBEN_LNC042260)". The record is from RNAcentral. Lineage: Eukaryota; Viridiplantae; Streptophyta; Magnoliopsida; Solanales; Solanaceae.